This 890-nucleotide small RNA is filed under the name Drosophila pseudoobscura pseudoobscura. RNAcentral's name for it is "GA32094". Lineage: Eukaryota; Metazoa; Arthropoda; Insecta; Diptera; Drosophilidae. The record is from RNAcentral.
GAACAAAUUAAGAAAAGUUAAGCAAGGCCUACUGCCUCGACUGUUUCAGAUUUAUCAUAAAAAAUGACAUAAAUUAGAUUCGAUCAUUACAUCGAAUCGCUUGCCUAAACGGACUUAACAAAGCAGUGCCUCUCCAUCUGCGUGGCAACUACUUGAUGCUCCAACUGUGUGCCACAAGUGAGUGCUGAAACUGCUACAACCGUGUGCCAAAAGGCAAUGAUAAAACCGCUCGAAACUUGCCGCAAGUCAACGCUAAAACUGCUCUCCGAAUUGUGCCACAAGCCAGAGCUAAAAUUUUAAAGUCAGAUAAGCCCCAACAAGCAGCAACCAGCAACCAGCAACCAGCCAUCAGCAACUCACUUACUUAACCUUUCGAAGGAACAGGAGCCCGGAGCCAGGAGCAAUCUCAUGUCAAUCCCUCGAGAAACCUGUGGAGAAAUGUGCCUAUCAUUGCUGCAUGUCAAUGUAUCUGGCGAAAUGUAUCUUUCACGCUCAAUUUAUUUGUAAUGGUGUCGAAAGCAGCCGCAGCAGCAGUCGUAGUCGUAGCACGGAGCUUCCUCUGUGGGGAAAAGCCAGAACAUGGCUAGGACUUAAAGCCAUUUGGAGGUGGAGAUGAGGGAAAAAAUGCGUGGUGGCUAUGGCACAUUAGUGGCACCACCGAACAAAAAUCCCCAAAUCAUAAACCGACGGACGACGGGGCAACUUUUCGCGAACGCAUUUUUCAUGUCGGAAUCAUGUUGGGGUCUAUGGGAAAAUUGUUGUCCCCCGAGAGGGCAGGGACUUACAAAUGAAAUAGCCGCAUGUGUAUCCUCCUAAUGAAAUAAACAUGUUUAUUAGAUACAAAUGCGUAUCAGCAAGGGGGCUCUGCUUUUUGCUUUUUUACGGGGUUU